GACAGAGGUGCCAAGCGUUAGGCGGAAUCACUGGGCUUAAAGCGUGUGUAGGCGGAUCGUUAAGUACCUUGUGAAAUCCCACGGCUCAACCGUGGAACUGCUGGGUAUACUGGCGAUCUUGAGCCACCUAGGGGCGAGCGGAACAAGCGGUGGAGCGGUGAAAUGCGUAGAUAUCGCUUGGAACGCCAAUGGUGAAAACAGCUCGCUGGGGGUGUGCUGACGCUGAGACACGAAAGCCAGGGGAGCGAACGGG
RNAcentral lists this ribosomal RNA (253 nucleotides) under uncultured bacterium. RNAcentral's name for it is "partial 16S ribosomal RNA". It matches the Rfam family "Bacterial small subunit ribosomal RNA", at positions 524 to 776 of the family's 1533-position model. The record is from RNAcentral.